RNAcentral lists this ribosomal RNA (321 nucleotides) under uncultured eukaryote. RNAcentral describes it as "partial 18S ribosomal RNA". It matches the Rfam family "Eukaryotic small subunit ribosomal RNA", at positions 1470 to 1796 of the family's 1831-position model. The record is from RNAcentral.
CCCUUAGAUGUUCUGGGCCGCACGCGCGCUACACUGAUACAAUCAACAAGUGCCUUUUGCCGACGGGUGAAGAGGACUCUUGUGAGUUUGUAUCGUGAUGGGAACAAACGAUUGCAAUUAUUAGUCUUGAACGAGGAAUUCCUAGUAAGCACAAGUCAUCAGCUUGUGUUGAUUACGUCCCUGCCCUUUGUACACACCGCCCGUCGCUCCUACCGAUUGAAUGUUCCGGUGAGCUCUUCGGACUGCGCGGUCUGCAGUUUCUGCGUUCCGUGCGGAAAGUUGCGCAAACCUUAACAUUUAGAGGAAGGAGAAGUCGUAACA